GCGAGAAAACUUUGCAAUGUGCGAAAGCACGACAAGGUUAAUCCGAGUGGUUUCUGCUAAAGAAACCUUUUGUCAGUCCUAGAAACACUAACGAAUAAGGGGUGGGCAAGUUCUGGUGUCAGCCGCCGCGGUAAAACCAGCACCUCAAGUGGUCAGGAUGAUUAUUGGGCCUAAAGCAUCCGUAGCUCGUUUUGUAAGUUUUCGGUUAAAUCCAUGCGCUUAACGUAUGGGCUGCCGGGAAUACUGCAUAACUAGGAAGUGGGAGAGGUAGACGGUACUCGGUAGGAAGGGGUAAAAUCCUUUGAUCUAUUGAUGACCACCUGUGGCGAAGGCGGUCUACCAGAACACGUUCGACGGUGAGGGAUGAAAGCUGGGGGAGCAAACCGGAUUAGAUACCCGCGUAGUCCCUGAGCGGGCUGGCAAGGCGCAU
This 430-nucleotide ribosomal RNA is filed under the name uncultured bacterium. RNAcentral describes it as "bacterial SSU rRNA". It matches the Rfam family "Archaeal small subunit ribosomal RNA", at positions 339 to 776 of the family's 1478-position model. The record is from RNAcentral.